Molecule: ribosomal RNA, 253 nt
Filed under: uncultured bacterium
Lineage: Bacteria
Description: partial 16S ribosomal RNA
Rfam family: Bacterial small subunit ribosomal RNA
Source: RNAcentral
UACAGAGGGGGCAAGCGUUAUUCGGAAUUAUUGGGCGUAAAGGGCUCGUAGGCGGCCAACUAAGUCAGACGUGAAAUCCCUCGGCUUAACCGGGGAACUGCGUCUGAUACUGGACGGCUUGAGUUCGGGAGAGGGAUGUGGAAUUCCAGGUGUAGCGGUGAAAUGCGUAGAUAUCUGGAGGAACACCGGUGGCGAAGGCGGCAUCCUGGACCGACACUGACGCUGAUGAGCGAAAGCCAGGGGAGCAAACGGG